GCCUGGGUGGCUCAGUCGGUUGAGCGUCCGACUUCGGCUCGGGUCAUGAUCUCGCGGUUCGUGGGUUCGAGCCCCGCGUCGGGCU
This 85-nucleotide transfer RNA is filed under the name Felis catus (domestic cat). It matches the Rfam family "tRNA". From Rfam's summary of the family: Transfer RNA (tRNA) molecules are approximately 80 nucleotides in length. Their secondary structure includes four short double-helical elements and three loops (D, anti-codon, and T loops). Further hydrogen bonds mediate the characteristic L-shaped molecular structure. tRNAs have two regions of fundamental functional importance: the anti-codon, which is responsible for specific mRNA codon recognition, and the 3' end, to which the tRNAs corresponding amino acid is attached (by aminoacyl-tRNA synthetases). tRNAs cope with the degeneracy of the genetic code in two manners: having more than one tRNA (with a specific anti-codon) for a particular amino acid; and 'wobble' base-pairing, i.e. permitting non-standard base-pairing at the 3rd anti-codon position. Lineage: Eukaryota; Metazoa; Chordata; Mammalia; Carnivora; Felidae. The record is from Rfam by way of RNAcentral. RNAcentral also lists the same sequence under 2 other names.